CGCGGCCUAUCAGCUUGUUGGUGAGGUAAUGGCUCACCAAGGCAACGACGGGUAGCUGGUCUGAGAGGACGAUCAGCCACACUGGAACUGAGACACGGUCCAGACUCCUACGGGAGGCAGCAGCAGGGAAUCUUGCGCAAUGGGCGAAAGCCUGACGCAGCGACGCCGCGUGGGGGAUGAAGGCCUUCGGGUUGUAAACCCCUUUCAGGAGGGAAGAAAAUGACGGUACCUCCAGAAGAAGCCCCGGCCAACUACGUGCCAGCAGCCGCGGUAAUACGUAGGGGGCGAGCGUUGUCCGGAUUUAUUGGGCGUAAAGGGCUCGUAGGCGGCUUGACAAGUCGGCCGUGAAAACCCAGGGCUCAACCCUGGGAGGCCGGUCGAUACUGUCAUGGCUAGGGUCCGGUAGAGGAGAAUGGAAUUCCCGGUGUAGCGGUGAAAUGCGCAGAUAUCGGGAGGAACACCAGUAGCGAAGGCGGUUCCCUGGGCCGGUACCGACGCUGAGGAGCGAAAGCGUGGGGAGCAAACAGGAUUAGAUACCCUGGUAGUCCACGCCGUAAACGGUGGGUACUAGGUGUGGCGUCUUUAUCAACGGAUGCCGUGCCAAAGCUAACGCAUUAAGUACCCCGCCUGGGGAGUACGG
This 640-nucleotide ribosomal RNA is filed under the name uncultured bacterium. Its description in RNAcentral is "bacterial SSU rRNA". It matches the Rfam family "Bacterial small subunit ribosomal RNA", at positions 232 to 885 of the family's 1533-position model. The record is from RNAcentral.